CUCCUUGACUCUCUGACCUUUGUUUUUUUUUUGUGUGUUGGUUUGGUGGUUUGUUUUUUUUUUGUGUGUGUGUGGUUUGUUUUGUGGUUUUUUUUUUUUUUUGCCCCUCCUUUCCCUGUGCUUCUCCUGAACGGGGCAUGAAUUCAAGCCUACAAAAACAAACAAAAAAAAGAAAUAGCCAAGUGUAAUUUAAAGAGUAGAAUCAGGUGCAAAAUGGAAGUGGUACCAAAACGAAGCCUUUUGUUGGUGUGUUUUGUUUGAUCUCCUCCUAGCCCGGUCUGGACAACGCUAUGCAAAUGGAAAUGACUUUUCUAGCAAACAAAGCCAUUGUGUACCCUAGAUAAUAUGCAUUUCGAGGAUAAGCUCUUUUCUUCCACGUGUAGAUUCCCUCUUGUCUCCUUUUGUAUAUGUUAUAUAUAGAGUGUGUUCUAUUUAAAAGCUCUGAGACUUUAUUUUCUGGCUCUCGGUUGUACCUUUAUACAAUUGUAUUUGAAAGUGAAAUAUAUUUUUUAUCGUGUAUUUGAAGUAUAUUGCUGAUGAGUGCUGUAUUCUGAGUGUUAGAUUGGCUUAAACUACCCUAGGUAAGAGGCUGAUGACAAAUAGCAGAGUGAAAAUGAUCUUUUAAGUGCAUCCUCCCUGGCUGGCACACUUUUUAUCAGCCCUAGCUUUACGUGGUGGUCAUACCCACGUGUCUGGAGCAUGAAAUGUAUGUGCUGUAAUAAAAUUAACAGUAUUGUAAUGAGUUGUUAACUCCGACGCCCGUACUUCACCGAGCUGUAUACCCUUAUGCACAGAAUGAAUGAUCUUAACUUCUGAGAGUUGUCUCUAUUUGUAAGUUAUUUUUGUAAAAUAAAGAUCUGGGGGGAAAAAAAAUUAUAUAUAUAUAUUAAAUAAAUCUAUGCCUACCAGUGAUUUGACUCGCCGGCAUCCUCCUCCUCCUCCUCAGAGAAAGGAAAAAUUAAAAAAAAAAGCCAAAAAGAAGAAAUCCCAAAGAAAAAAAUCCCAAAGAAGAAGUCCCAAAGAAGAAAUCCCUUCUCUCCUUUGUUUGGUGCAGGAGCAAACAGUGCUGCGUUGUCGAAGCGCGGGGCAAGAUUUCAGCUGCUGCAGGACAUCUGAAGUAGAUCAUCUUGAAUCGUGGUCAUCUUUGUCUCGGGACAAGGUAACUCCUGUUAAAUUAACGAUGACUCUCCAACCAUCACCAACUUAUUGCUGGUUUGCAUGUUCUGCAAUUCCA
Molecule: long non-coding RNA, 1234 nt
Filed under: Calidris pugnax (ruff)
Lineage: Eukaryota; Metazoa; Chordata; Aves; Charadriiformes; Scolopacidae
Description: lncRNA (ENSCPUG00000015850.1)
Source: RNAcentral